RNAcentral lists this ribosomal RNA (781 nucleotides) under Ralstonia mannitolilytica. Its description in RNAcentral is "bacterial SSU rRNA". It matches the Rfam family "Bacterial small subunit ribosomal RNA", at positions 64 to 839 of the family's 1533-position model. Lineage: Bacteria; Pseudomonadati; Pseudomonadota; Betaproteobacteria; Burkholderiales; Burkholderiaceae. The record is from RNAcentral.
CAGCGGGGGAGAAGCUUGCUUCUCCUGCCGGCGAGUGGCGAACGGGUGAGUAAUACAUCGGAACGUGCCCUGUAGUGGGGGAUAACUAGUCGAAAGAUUAGCUAAUACCGCAUACGACCUGAGGGUGAAAGUGGGGGACCGCAAGGCCUCAUGCUAUAGGAGCGGCCGAUGUCUGAUUAGCUAGUUGGUGGGGUAAAGGCCCACCAAGGCGACGAUCAGUAGCUGGUCUGAGAGGACGAUCAGCCACACUGGGACUGAGACACGGCCCAGACUCCUACGGGAGGCAGCAGUGGGGAAUUUUGGACAAUGGGCGAAAGCCUGAUCCAGCAAUGCCGCGUGUGUGAAGAAGGCCUUCGGGUUGUAAAGCACUUUUGUCCGGAAAGAAAUGGCUCUGGUUAAUACCUGGGGUCGAUGACGGUACCGGAAGAAUAAGGACCGGCUAACUACGUGCCAGCAGCCGCGGUAAUACGUAGGGUCCAAGCGUUAAUCGGAAUUACUGGGCGUAAAGCGUGCGCAGGCGGUUGUGCAAGACCGAUGUGAAAUCCCCGAGCUUAACUUGGGAAUUGCAUUGGUGACUGCACGGCUAGAGUGUGUCAGAGGGGGGUAGAAUUCCACGUGUAGCAGUGAAAUGCGUAGAGAUGUGGAGGAAUACCGAUGGCGAAGGCAGCCCCCUGGGAUAACACUGACGCUCAUGCACGAAAGCGUGGGGAGCAAACAGGAUUAGAUACCCUGGUAGUCCACGCCCUAAACGAUGUCAACUAGUUGUUGGGGAUUCAUUUCC